UGUUGCCUAAUAAAUAUCACCAUCAUUUUUAUGCCCGCUUUUGAGGUAACCCCAAUUAACCAGGCCUACACUGCUCAAUGACAUAUGUCCUAGCUGGAGCCAGUAAUAACACUGAGCCACGCAAUGAAGGAGCAGGCCACCAAAGGAACAACAGAAAAAAAAGCAUGGAAUGGAGCAACCAGACGAGAGACUACAGGCGCCAGCCGCAAUGUAACUGCAGUCUCAGGUAUGCUGGGCGGACGAGGAGGCCAUUUCCCAGGGCUUCACCGGGAAAGACUGAGUGACACUGGCACCAGAGUCGGCUACAAUCUAGAGAAUGUUGGCAGUUCAGAUCUCAAUUGACAAAAAAAAAAUGCACUUGUGGAUAGAAUACAAUACAUUCUGUGAUGCUGGAUAACUUUUUUUACUACUUUUUGACUUGACUUCCUUUUCAAGAGUGUAUUGUAGUGCUGGAAGAUUAACUAAUUAACUCCCAAAUACCUAUUUAUAUGUCUUUUCAGACGCAACACAUCCAAUCCCAGGGACCUAUUUAUACCCCCCCCCCCCCCCAAGACUGAGGUUAAAAUAGGUCUGAAAAUGGCUGGCACUGAAUGAAUUAAUCAAAAUUUAAAUUCUGAAUUCGAUGUUGGUUUCUCCCAAUCUUCAAAAGGUUCUAAUCAUAGAUGCCAAAGUCCGGUCCUCCAGGGCUA
Hippocampus zosterae (dwarf seahorse) is the source of this 689-nucleotide long non-coding RNA. RefSeq lists it as uncharacterized. The transcript has 3 exons. NCBI's taxonomy places the organism in Eukaryota, Metazoa, Chordata, Actinopteri, Syngnathiformes, Syngnathidae. The record is from RefSeq and is a predicted model, not a curated record.